GAUGGUGUUCACUGUCACACUGAAGCUCGCACUGGACACACAUUACUGGACUUGGAUAAACCACUUUGUCAUCUGGGGGUCGCUGCUGUUCUACAUCGUCUUCUCCCUGCUCUGGGGAGGGAUUAUCUGGCCGUUCCUCAGCUACCAGCGGAUGUACUAUGUGUUCAUAUACAUGCUGUCCAGCGGGCCUGCCUGGUUGGGCAUCAUAUUGCUUGUCACAGUCGGCCUCCUCCCUGAUGUCCUCAAGAAGGUCCUGUGCAGGCAGUUGUGGCCCACGGCAACGGAGAGAACUCAGGCCAGGAACAAGUGCCUUUCUGUUGAGCAGCCCACCGUGUUUAUGCUCUCGCAGACCGCCAGUGGUCUGAGUUUCUGACCAACAGACUGUACAGCUCCGGGACAGCAUUUCAGAAUUCACCCCUCUGGCCUCUCUGCAGAGCCGGGGUGCUCAGGGCACCAGACUCUUGGCUGCCCAAUGC
This 476-nucleotide long non-coding RNA is filed under the name Rattus norvegicus (Norway rat). RNAcentral's name for it is "long non-coding RNA NONRATT012141". The record is from RNAcentral. Lineage: Eukaryota; Metazoa; Chordata; Mammalia; Rodentia; Muridae.